RNAcentral lists this non-coding RNA (28 nucleotides) under Homo sapiens (human). Lineage: Eukaryota; Metazoa; Chordata; Mammalia; Primates; Hominidae. The record is from RNAcentral.
UAGUUCAAUGGUAUCUACUCUGGCACUG